UUGUGGUAGGCUAACUUGUUC
Molecule: non-coding RNA, 21 nt
Filed under: Arabidopsis thaliana (thale cress)
Lineage: Eukaryota; Viridiplantae; Streptophyta; Magnoliopsida; Brassicales; Brassicaceae
Source: RNAcentral